GCCUUCGUGGUGUAAUGGUUAACACACUCGGCACGCAUUCGAAAGAUCCGAGGUUAGAGUCCCGGCGAUGGCA
RNAcentral lists this transfer RNA (73 nucleotides) under Stegodyphus mimosarum. It matches the Rfam family "tRNA". Rfam says of the family: Transfer RNA (tRNA) molecules are approximately 80 nucleotides in length. Their secondary structure includes four short double-helical elements and three loops (D, anti-codon, and T loops). Lineage: Eukaryota; Metazoa; Arthropoda; Arachnida; Araneae; Eresidae. The record is from Rfam by way of RNAcentral.